CACCCAACCCAGGACGGAGCGGUUGGCCCGAAUGCGGCGCAGUCUGGAGCGGACAACGCGAGUCAGGCUUCAGCGAAGCGAAGAACAGGCCGGCUAGAGUUGAAGGAUAAGCG
This 113-nucleotide non-coding RNA is filed under the name Tiarina fusus. The record is from RNAcentral. Lineage: Eukaryota; Ciliophora; Prostomatea; Prorodontida; Colepidae.